GAUGAACGCUGGCGGCGUGCCUAAUACAUGCCAGUCGAGCGAACAGACGAGGAGCUUGCUCCUCUGACGUUAGCGGCGGACGGGCGAGUAACACGUGGAUCACCUACCUCUAAGACUGGGAUAACUUCGGGAGACCGGAGCUAAUACCGGAUAAUAUAUUGAACCGCAUGGUUCAAUAGUGAAAGACGGCUUUGCUGUCACUUAUAGAUGGAUCCGCGCCGCAUUAGCUAGUUGGUAAGGUAACGGCUGACCAAGGCAACGAUGCGUAGCCGACCUGAGAGGGUGAUCGGCCACACUGGAACUGAGACACGGUCCAGACUCCUACGGGAGGCAGCAGUAGGGAAUCUUCGGCAAUGGGCGAAAGCCUGACGGAGCAACGCCGCGUGAGUGAUGAAGGUCUUCGGAUCGUAAAGCUCUGUUAUUGGGGUAGAACAAAUGUGUAAGUAACUAUGCACGUCUUGACGGUACCUAAUCAGAAAGCCACGGCUAACUACGUG
This 497-nucleotide ribosomal RNA is filed under the name uncultured bacterium. RNAcentral describes it as "partial 16S ribosomal RNA". It matches the Rfam family "Bacterial small subunit ribosomal RNA", at positions 28 to 507 of the family's 1533-position model. The record is from RNAcentral.